Molecule: transfer RNA, 73 nt
Filed under: candidate division WOR-1 bacterium RIFOXYA12_FULL_43_27
Lineage: Bacteria; Bacillati
Also listed under: 3 other names
Description: tRNA-Lys
Rfam family: tRNA
About the family: Transfer RNA (tRNA) molecules are approximately 80 nucleotides in length. Their secondary structure includes four short double-helical elements and three loops (D, anti-codon, and T loops).
Source: RNAcentral
GCGCCGCUAGCUCAAUUGGCAGAGCAGGACACUCUUAAUGUCAAGGUUAUAGGUUCGAUUCCUAUGCGGCGCA